This 253-nucleotide ribosomal RNA is filed under the name uncultured bacterium. Its description in RNAcentral is "partial 16S ribosomal RNA". It matches the Rfam family "Bacterial small subunit ribosomal RNA", at positions 524 to 776 of the family's 1533-position model. The record is from RNAcentral.
UACGGGGGGGGCAAGCGUUGUUCAGAAUUACUGGGCGUAAAGCGCACGUAGGCGGAUCGAUCAGUCAGGGGUGAAAUCCCAGGGCUCAACCCUGGAACUGCCUUUGAUACUGUCGAUCUGGAGUAUGGAAGAGGUGAGUGGAAUUCCGAGUGUAGAGGUGAAAUUCGUAGAUAUUGGGAGGAACACCAGUGGCGAAGGCGGCUCACUGGACCGGAACUGACGCUGAGGCGCGAAAGCGUGGGGAGCAAACAGG